This 649-nucleotide ribosomal RNA is filed under the name uncultured bacterium. RNAcentral describes it as "bacterial SSU rRNA". It matches the Rfam family "Bacterial small subunit ribosomal RNA", at positions 43 to 700 of the family's 1533-position model. The record is from RNAcentral.
CAGGCCUAACACAUGCAAGUCGAACGCUGAAGCUUGGUGCUUGCACUGGGUGGAUGAGUGGCGAACGGGUGAGUAUCACGUGAGUAACCUGCCCCUGACUUCGGGAUAAGCCUGGGAAACUGGGUCUAAUACCGGAUAUGACCAUCUUUCGCAUGUUGGGUGGUGGAAAGUUUUUCGGUUGGGGAUGGGCUCGCGGCCUAUCAGUUUGUUGGUGGGGUAAUGGCCUACCAAGACGACGACGGGUAGCCGGCCUGAGAGGGCGACCGGCCACACUGGGACUGAGACACGGCCCAGACUCCUACGGGAGGCAGCAGUGGGGAAUAUUGCACAAUGGGGGAAACCCUGAUGCAGCGACGCCGCGUGGGGGAUGACGGCCUUCGGGUUGUAAACCUCUUUCAGUAGGGAAGAAGCCUUUGGGUGACGGUACCUGCAGAAGAAGUACCGGCUAACUACGUGCCAGCAGCCGCGGUAAUACGUAGGGUACAAGCGUUGUCCGGAAUUAUUGGGCGUAAAGAGCUCGUAGGUGGUUUGUCGCGUCUGCUGUGGAAUCGUGCCGCUUAACGGUGCGCGUGCAGUGGGUACGGGCAGACUGGAGUGCAGUAGGGGAGUCUGGAAUUCCUGGUGUAGCGGUGAAAUGCGCAGAUAUCAG